GACGAACGCUGGCGGCGUGCUUAACACAUGCAAGUCGAACGGAAAGGCCCUGCUUUUGUGGGGUGCUCGAGUGGCGAACGGGUGAGUAACACGUGAGUAACCUGCCCUUGACUUUGGGAUAACUUCAGGAAACUGGGCUAAUACCGGAUAGGAGCUCCUGCUGCAUGGUGGGGGUUGGAAAGUUUCGGCGGUUGGGGAUGGACUCGCGGCUUAUCAGCUUGUUGGUGGGGUAGUGGCUUACCAAGGCUUUGACGGGUAGCCGGCCUGAGAGGGUGACCGGCCACAUUGGGACUGGGAUGCGGCCAGGAGUCCUACGGGAGGCAGCGGUGGAGAAUAUUGCACAAUGGGCGGAGGCCGGAUGGAGCAACGCCGCGUGCGGAAUGACGGCCUUCGGGUUGGAAACCGCUUUCGCGUGUGACGAAGCGUGAGGAACGGUAAUGGGUAAAGAGGCACCGGCUAACUACGU
This 466-nucleotide ribosomal RNA is filed under the name uncultured bacterium. RNAcentral's name for it is "partial 16S ribosomal RNA". It matches the Rfam family "Bacterial small subunit ribosomal RNA", at positions 28 to 506 of the family's 1533-position model. The record is from RNAcentral.